RNAcentral lists this ribosomal RNA (512 nucleotides) under uncultured bacterium. Its description in RNAcentral is "partial 16S ribosomal RNA". It matches the Rfam family "Bacterial small subunit ribosomal RNA", at positions 355 to 878 of the family's 1533-position model. The record is from RNAcentral.
UGGGGAAUAUUGCACAAUGGGCGAAAGCCUGAUGCAGCAACGCCGCGUGCGGGAUGACGGCCUUCGGGUUGUAAACCGCUUUCAGCAGGGACGAAGGUUUUCUGACGGUACCUGCAGAAGAAGCACCGGCUAACUACGUGCCAGCAGCCGCGGUGAUACGUAGGGUGCGAGCGUUGUCCGGAAUUAUUGGGCGUAAAGAGCUUGUAGGCGGUCCGUUGCGUCGGAAGUGAAAACUCAGGGCUUAACCCUGAGCCUGCUUUCGAUACGGGCGGACUUGAGGGAUGUAGGGAGAACGGAAUUCCUGGUGGAGCGGUGGAAUGCGCAGAUAUCAGGAGGAACACCAGUGGCGAAGGCGGUUCUCUGGACAUUUCCUGACGCUGAGAAGCGAAAGCGUGGGGAGCAAACAGGCUUAGAUACCCUGGUAGUCCACGCCGUAAACGGUGGGCACUAGGUGUGGGACCCAUUCCACGGGUUCCGUGCCGUAGCUAACGCAUUAAGUGCCCCGCCUGGGG